This is a long non-coding RNA of Ictalurus punctatus (channel catfish), 3546 nucleotides long. NCBI's taxonomy places the organism in Eukaryota, Metazoa, Chordata, Actinopteri, Siluriformes, Ictaluridae. The record is from Ensembl.
CGUUUUUUAUGUAAAGUAAUAUGACGGGAGCUUCAUCUCUCCAACAUAAACCCCGUUCCUGGUGUUGAUCCGAGAAGAUAAAUGUAAAAAUGGAGAGCUACGUGACUUGAAACACGUAACAGAUCGAGCUCCAACAGUUUAAUUACGCGUCCUGAUGUUGCGCUUUAAAGCCGACGGAUCAAACGGCCGUCGCCGUUCCUCUCGUCCCUCUAAUCCACGCAUGAAAGGCGAACAUUGCACUUAAAACACGUCUAAAAUGUCACUUCCUCACCUCGCCGAGCAUCGCUGAUACGCGCCGAUAACUCCAGCGUAGCUGUGAUACGGAUCUUUAAUUAAAUUUCCACUGUCUAAAAACUCAUCUCUGAUGCUCUCUUAAUAAGGUUUAAUCUAUAAUUAUGUCAAUAAAUAUAUUCAUAUAUAAUACACAUGAUCGUUUAUCAAAUCUUAGAAAUAUCUGACACGUUUUUACGCUGAUGUUUUUGUCGUUAAAAUUGUAACUGUAAAAAAAAAAAAUCGCAUUUUUAAUUAAAAGUUCGUUAAAAUAAUGCUUUGAUUAUGGGUUGUUGUUUGUUUUGCAUUUCCGCGUCAUUUCGAGAGAGAAAAAACAACAACAGGAGGUUAUUGCUAGGUUAAAGCUAAUAAAGCUAACGACUUUUGUUAGCUAACUCCACAUUUAACUUAGCAAUUUGAAUUUUUUUUUUAAAUGCUAGGCGUACAGUUAAACUUCCCACGAUGGCACUUGUGAGCGUAGCGUGUUAGCUGUAUUUAUGCUAGCACUUUACAUGUAGUAUAUGGGUUGUUGUUUUUUUUUAAACUUUUGCUAGCACAUUCAUAUUUGUAACUUUUUGUUUAUAGUCUUUUGUGCUAAUCGCAUGCUAGCUAUACGAUUUCAUGUCAGGAUUUUUUUUUUUGUACUUUCACUACGUUUGCUUCGAGCUUGAUAACGACAUUCAUUCCUUCACGAGUUUCAUUUGGUUUCAGGUUAUACGCCUGCUGAGAUUCGGUUUAAAAUUAGCAGCAGUUUCGUUCGGCUAGUAGCUUCCUGACGCGAUUCCCUUUGCGCUAGUAAUUUGCUAGCUACCUUUAAUUGCUAGCAGCAGAAUGUUUUUGGGUUGUUUUUUGGGGGGUUUUUUUGCUAGUAGCUGCUCAUAAUAUACUUUACUUUGUGCUUGUAGUGUUCUCGCUGUGUUUUAUUUGACCUUUAUUUAUUAUUCAAUCUAUUUACUCUAGGAAGAUUGUUCUAGAUACGUAUGCUAGUAAUGGCACGGUUUUGUUUGUGUAGUGCUAAUUAUUAGUUUUAUUAUUUUUACUGGAUAAUCUAGUGUUUUAAAUGAUUUUUUCCGAGGUGACUGUACUGUUACAGUUAGCAUAGCACUUCAUUACGAGUUUCUGGUCAGUCCUGCGCAGGCUGCCCGGGUUGUGUCGGUGAUUGGGUUACGUUGUAGGUGACACUAAGCUCGGUUAGUCAUCGCGGUGACCUCUUCCUCCUCCUCCUCCUCCUCCUCGUAAGCAGAGUAGCCUAGCAGGAAUAAUUUAUAAGCAGCACCUCCGCACUUCAAUUUAGCUUCAUCUCCUGAGCAGGGCCCCAGGGCUCGACUCAACAAAGCAACAACGGCCGCUGAACUUUUGAUCCGAUGAAUUCUUAAUGACAGAUUUGAUUACAAACACGGCCUCGUAUUAGAUGAGUUCAGUGUCUGGCUGCGAAAAGGGCGACCGCCAGCAACGUGGCACAGACAUGACACUGGCAUUUCUGCUGUUAGCAUCACGCUAAUCACUAAUCACUUCACACAAAGGCACUUGCUAACAUUUACAUCAGACCUGAAUUCACACGUACAGUUAGCUGUUUUAUUAUUAUUUUUUAAACCACCACCGCAAGGUUUCAAGCUAAUUAUUUUAACACGUCAAUCAAUUCGCACUCAGCCAGCUCAUCUUUAACGUACCGUUUCCUAUUGUGCCUCAUGCUAAUCGCUAAUCACUUCACACAUUUCUACCAGACACUGAGAAAUCCGCAUAAAAUCGUGCUAAUCGCUAAUCACAGCCGUUAUGAAAACCACACCAAGAUGCUUUUUUUUUUUAAAAACAAACAGUUCUUUUUGCUCUUUUUCACUUCGCUAGUCGCUAACAACCAUGACGUAUUUAUAACUAAUUCUUUACCUUUAGAGUCCAACCCAUUGCUCCAGGUUCAUGCUAACUGCUAAUCAUUUCCCUCUCAGCUGUGAUUAAAAAUCUAUUAAGAGUUACAAUCCAAACCGUUGCGCUAAUCACUCUAAUCUCCUCACACUUAUCUGUCAUUCAUUAACAUUUAUAGGUCGACCCCUUGCUAAGCGCUAAUCGUUUCACUAGCUGUUAUAUAAAAAAAAAGACACCAUAUUAAUGAUCAAUUUAACUUUAAAGUCCAAACCAUCAUGCUAAUCGAUCAUGCUAAGCGCUAACCACCUCACACUCUGCUGUUAUGAGAAACAUCACGUUUGAGGCUAAUUCUUUCACAUUUAAAGUCUGACCCUUUGCUAAUCGCUAAUCCUUUAAUUUCACUGACUAGCUGUUAUUUAAAACACACACACACACACACACACACACACACACACACACACACACACAUACAUACCUACCGAGCUAAUGAUAAAUUUCUGCUGUUCUAUAACAAAUCAGACCAUCUUCAAAACUAAUUCUUUAACAUGUAUAGUCCAACUCUUUGCUAAUCGCUAAUCACUUCACCCUUGAUUAGCUGUUAUAGAAACUGCCCCAUGUUUAAGGCUAAUUCUUUACCACAGCCCAAACUUUUACCCAGCCUCAUGCUAACAAUAUAACCCUCAACUAGCUGUUCUAAAAAAAAAAAAAUGUUUAUCCCACCAUGUUUAAGGCUAAUUCUUUAACAUUUAGAGCUCAAGCCCUUGCUAAUCGCUAAUCACGUCACGCUCAAAAAUCUGUUAUGAAAACUACUCCAUGUUUGUUUGAUUUUUAAGUAUAAACAUUUAGAGUCCACACCAUUGUGCUAAUCUCUUAGCAUGAUUGCUAAUCCCUUCAGACUAAGUUGUUAUUAAACAAAAAAACACUCCAUGUUUAUAGUAUUUUAUUUGAACAUUUAAAACUCCAACCUAUAGCUAAUAUUUUUAAUAAUAUUAACCAAGUUAUUGAGUUUGUUGUGUUGAUUUUAUUUGGUUUUUGUUGCAGUGGUGAUGACAAACAAAGGCUGAAAAUGUCCUUAGUUAGCCGUGUUAGUUGGAUUAGCCAAUGAGGCGGCUCCUGUAAUUGGCUCGUUAGCUUUGCUGUGCAUCCAGCUGUGACGAGAUCUACUGAUGUAGGAUGUGUUGGGCAAGCAAGGCACUGGGCGAGUUAGCAACUUAACACUCCUUCAUCUUGGAUGAUGUGAUGUGAUUACAGAGGUGACGGGGAACCGGAGGCUCGGAAAGAGUCGGAGGAAACUUCUCGAGUGGAGAAAGUAAGAAGGAAAGAAAGAAAGAACCGAAGAAAAGGAAGACUCUGCGAGGCCGUUGAUGUUAUAAUAACGAUGCUGAGGCUGAAACGAUAAGAAAUUGUGAAUGAGAC